This 493-nucleotide ribosomal RNA is filed under the name uncultured Actinomycetes bacterium. RNAcentral's name for it is "bacterial SSU rRNA". It matches the Rfam family "Bacterial small subunit ribosomal RNA", at positions 388 to 896 of the family's 1533-position model. Lineage: Bacteria; Bacillati; Actinomycetota; Actinomycetes. The record is from RNAcentral.
GCAGCAACGCCGCGUGCGGGAAGAAGGCCCUAGGUUGUAAACCGCUUUCAGUAGGGAAGAAAAUGACGGUACCUACAGAAGAAGGUGCGGCCAACUACGUGCCAGCAGCCGCGGUGACACGUAGGCACCAAGCGUUAUCCGGAUUUAUUGGGCGUAAAGAGCUCGUAGACGGUUUGGUAAGUCGGGUGUGAAAACUCUGGGCUCAACCCAGAGAGGCCACCCGAUACUGCUAUGACUAGAGUACGGUAGGGGAGCGGGGAAUUCAUGGUGUAGCGGUGAAAUGCGCAGAUAUCAUGAGGAACACCAGCGGCGAAGGCGCCGCUCUGGGCCGUAACUGACGCUGAGGAGCGAAAGCAUGGGUAGCAAACAGGAUUAGAUACCCUGGUAGUCCAUGCCGUAAACGUUGGGCACUAGGUGUGGGUCUCAACCAACGAGAUCCGCGCCGUCGCUAACGCAUUAAGUGCCCCGCCUGGGGAGUACGGUCGCAAGACUA